This 1230-nucleotide long non-coding RNA is filed under the name Fukomys damarensis (Damara mole-rat). RNAcentral describes it as "lncRNA (ENSFDAG00000031541.1)". Lineage: Eukaryota; Metazoa; Chordata; Mammalia; Rodentia; Bathyergidae. The record is from RNAcentral.
GAGCAGCCUCAGCCCUCCUGACUGUCCCUCCACUGUCACAGACUUCAGGCAGAGGGGCUGGGGGGACUCCAGCCGAUUCCCCGCUGCCACAAUGACUCCCUGCCUGCCCGGCAGUUCUGAUCUGUGACCGGAAGCCAUUCCUUGGCUAAUGUUCAAACCCCUGCCUGAAAAUAAAAAGAAAAAAAAAUAAUUUUCUGCUUGGGACACUUUAAACUGAAAACUCUGGCCCUGAAAACCUGACCUAAAUGCUUUUAAUCAGAGCAGAAGAAACGUAUGCCCAUUUUCUCCUCGCUUUACUAAUUAAAGGAAAUUAAUUGGUGUUCUCGGGAACUACCGACUGAGGGUCAAGAGCCUCCAGUCAUCUUUCCCCCCUGCUUGCUCGGCUAGGUCCCCCCACCAUGCCCAGACCCCACUGUGGAGGUGGCCUCUUUCCCACAGACAAUGGGGAGGGGGCACCAGGCCCGCGGCUCCAUCCCUGCUUGGGGACUUUGGCCCUGAAAAGAAAACGCUGCUAUUGGCCGGAAGUUGUCACCCCCAGCAGGGCUGUCCGCUCCUCCUGGCCCUGGACUUGCUCUGGAGCCAGGCCUCUCCUCGCCGGCUGCCCGCACCAGCACUGCCCACUAGUGGGCGUGGCUCCCACUGGCACCCAGAGCGCCGCCGUCACACAGUAAGGCGCCCAGUAAGUGCUUGCUGAAUGUGCAAUGAGUCCCCGCCAGGCCAAGAGUUUCUGGGGUGUGGGGAGCUGCGAGGUCUCCAGGCUGCCCCAGAAAAUGGGCGAGACCUGGUUUUUCUCAAGCAUUUCUCAGAUGCCCGUGUAACGCCAGCCCUCUGCCCCGCUUCUGUGUGGUCCUUGUCUAGGGCAGGCCGCCCUUCACCCCACCAGGGAGGGGGUUCUCCCGGAUGCCCGGUGAAUACCCGCCGCCACCACCCGGCCUGGCCUCCCCUGCCCAGGUCCAAUUCUCCAGCUGAAGGGAGUUUGAACCUGAGCGUUCAGAGCAGGCAGCUUCCCCGCCGGAGCGAGCACAGAAGCGAGGCAAUUAGCCGCUCCUUCCCGACCAGCGCCUGCCUUCCCUGGAAAUGCGCGGCGACGCGUUAGUCCGUGCGUUCGCAGUCUCCUCCGCCGCCUGCUGUCGCUGCGUCCCCGCACACUCGGGCGGGAGGGCUGACGCCGCCCGACUGCAUUCUGCCUCCGGAGCCUUUCACGACUCAGCCUUGGGAACGAACACAGGG